Molecule: ribosomal RNA, 393 nt
Filed under: uncultured bacterium
Lineage: Bacteria
Description: bacterial SSU rRNA
Rfam family: Bacterial small subunit ribosomal RNA
Source: RNAcentral
GACGAACGCUGGCGGCGUGCUUAACACAUGCAAGUCGAGCGGUAAGGCCCUUUCGGGGGUACACGAGCGGCGAACGGGUGAGUAACACGUGGGUGACCUGCCCUCAGCUCUGGGAUAAGCCUGGGAAACCGGGUCUAAUACUGGAUAUGACUCCAUGACGCAUGUUGUGGGGUGGAAAGCCUUGUGCGGCUGAGGAUGGGCCCGCGGCCUAUCAGCUUGUUGGUGGGGNGAUGGCCUACCAAGGCGACGACGGGUAGCCGGCCUGAGAGGGCGACCGGCCACACUGGGACUGAGACACGGCCCAGACUCCUACGGGAGGCAGCAGUGGGAAUCUUGCGCAAUGGGCGAAAGCCUGACGCAGCGACGCCGCGUGAGGGAUGACGGCCUGGUUGU